CUAUGCUUGAAACACCGAAAAAUAGUGGAUUUUUAAAGAAUUUUGGUCGGCAAAGUCAAAUAAAUGGCCCAAGUUUAUGUAAAAGAUGUGGUGUUCACUACUGCUUACAGAAUGAUCGAACUUUUAAGAAAGAAUUUUCAGUGAAUAUAUUUCAUGUAUUUAAUGAAAAUCUGUUAUGGUUUAGUUCCCAGGCUAAAAAUGUAACAAAAGCAGAGAGAGAGAAGAAAGGGGACAAAAGGGGGGGGGAAGGGAAUUGAUUUUCUUAUAAGCUCAAUAAUGCAUUUCAGUUGUCGUAACUCUAAAUGAAAAACAGCCU
This 316-nucleotide long non-coding RNA is filed under the name Mytilus galloprovincialis (Mediterranean mussel). Lineage: Eukaryota; Metazoa; Mollusca; Bivalvia; Mytilida; Mytilidae. The record is from RNAcentral.